This 241-nucleotide long non-coding RNA is filed under the name Elaeis guineensis (African oil palm). RNAcentral describes it as "long non-coding RNA (EGUI_LNC058017)". Lineage: Eukaryota; Viridiplantae; Streptophyta; Magnoliopsida; Arecales; Arecaceae. The record is from RNAcentral.
GAUUAGCUGACACUUAUAAUACUUUCUUAGGACAUAUUUUGUAAUAUGGACUUAUAAUUAAUAAAUUAAAUUUAUUUUCAUUCAAAUUUGUGUUGUUAAGUGUCCUGAAUCGUCCAUUGAGUUAAUGGGUAUAAUGAUAUAUAUUCUCAAGAGUUGAGAAUUUGAGACAUGUGUCAUUAUAAUUAAUUCAUAAAUUACUUCUGAUCAUAGGAUCAUCACAGGGAUGGUGUUUGAUCCAGAG